Molecule: long non-coding RNA, 3011 nt
Filed under: Panax ginseng (ginseng)
Lineage: Eukaryota; Viridiplantae; Streptophyta; Magnoliopsida; Apiales; Araliaceae
Description: long non-coding RNA (PGIN_LNC015308)
Source: RNAcentral
AUGGAUGCAAUUGUCUUGAACAUGGAUCGAGAGAUAUAUCUUCCAAUUCAUCUGAUGAGAUGCUUAGGGUGGGUGUGUAUAUCAACUGAAUUUUGUCUUGCAUCUUUCUGUCUUGUUUUUCUAGUAUAUGUCCAAGCCUUUACUCCUAAAAGUAGUAUUGGAAGGUAAAUAUUGGUUGUGAACAAACAAAAAAUGUAAGGUAAAUUAACUGUGGGAGGAACUGGGUCGGAAGAUAUACAAGUGAAAUCAGUUUCUAUCCUGAUCUCUUUUAUUUCCUUCUCGCAAGUGUACUGUUGUAUUUGUUGAAGUUGCCUUUUUUUCACUUCUAUCUGGAUGACCAUUUGUAUUUGUUGGGUUCAUUUCAUCAUAUGCUUCCACGUUAUAUGUUAUAACUUCAUCUUUAUAGGCGACAAUUUCACUAUUCGGACAUUCUUAGUGCAAGAGCUCUUCCAUGCGGGCAUUGAAAAAAGAGUCACUGAUAUGUAAAGAGUCCCAAGGAACUAAGUAAUAGUUUCUAUGGCAAGUCGAGACUUCAAACACCAAGAAGAAGCAAGUUUAACAAACAAAAAAUAGUUUCACAAAACCACUGCUUGAAAGCAUUGCAGUUAUGAAUGUGCAUCCAACACUAGCAACAGAUUAUUAUCUUGUAGAGUGAUAAUCAUCCCACUUCUCCAUUAUAUCCACAAAGGAAACCUAAAAUUCAUGUGAACGCUUCUCAACAAAACUGAACUGAUACAAGCAGGGUCAUGGUCUAAAAUGUUUUUAAAGAAACAGUGAUACAGUUCUAUCAUCAUGCAUUAUUUGUCUAUGAGACUCCAAAACGAGAGACCCAUUAUCCUUCAGUGAUGUGCCUUGGCUGCAGCUUUUUGUUGAGACUUGGCCUUUGCCUGCGGCAGAGGACAAAAUAAAUCAAGUUAAUAAACAAGAAGCAUCCUUGCACAUAAUGUGCAUGCAAUUCUGAUUUUCCGUCUAGAUUAAAUAAACUCUGUUGUCUAGUCUGAAAUUUUUAAAUAAAAUCCUUUAAAAACUUGCAUUAAAGUCGGCAAAUAAAUUUCACAAGCAGAGUGGCACAACCUUGCUGCCCAACGGAAAUGAACUAUCUAAACAUGCAACCGUGCAGAAAAAAACAUUGUUCACGCAUGAUCCAACCACAGAAAUUGCAUUACAAGAAACUGGAUACCAUGAAUUUUAAAAUUUUGAAACUUGCUAAACAAAACUAUUUCUAUGGCACACUCGUUAAAAGGGAGAGGUAUUAAUGUCGUAAACUCAUAGUUACUCGGUAACUUGCACUGAACUUAUCACGUGUAACAGAAUGAUCCAUGUUUAUUUGGCAAUUUGCUUGAACAAGAAAUAUCAGCUAACAUGUAAUAGAACACAACCAACAAAAUGACAAUAUGGAUUCUUUUUCACGAGUUAUCAAUAAUCUUAAGUUUGACCACUAUUGGUGUCUCCGUUAUUGUGACACACAAAUCACACGUGCCUCCUAAUAAAUAUGGAUCAGCAUGUAUAAAAAGAAGUUGCUCAAGUUACUAUAUCUUAAUGAGUUUUAUACUACACGAACUUCUCAUCAAAAGCGCCCCUCUAAUAAAUACCGUUUUAUACCAAUACAUUUGGUAGAUUAUAAAGACAUGCACUUAUACUGACCGAGUCGCUUCACCUUGGGCAACCUCCAAAUACCAAGAUGUUACACCAAAGUUGCUUUUCUCAAACUUUGUAGUAGUGUUGAACAUACAAUCAGCAAUAUGGAAAAGCUUCACCAAUACCAUGAUUAAAUAGAAUGCAAGCUGCAUUAGUAAAUUCUUGAUAUGGCUAAUAAGUACAACUUCAACUAUGAAGUAUUUCUUGGUUUUGACAGGUAAUUGACCUCGUAGUCAUUAUUUAUUGCUGAAAGCUAAAUAAAUAUAAUACAUGAGUUUGAAAAAAUCAGGUGAAAGAACAAGUCUUCCCCAUAACAUUAAAAAUAAGGGAAAGCUAGAAGAAUCUGAAUAUGGAAAUCAGUAUAAACAUAUCAUGUCAACAAGUAUCUAAUGAUUCAAAGAGAAAUAUCUCAGCCACUAUUAGAAUUCCACUAAACCAGGAAAUGCAAAUAAAGAAUCUAUAUGACAUCUGCCAAUACUUGCAUGAAACCUUUACCCAAGUCAGGUUCAUCUAAAAUCCUAUCACAUGUCCCAUGUCAGUAAUACAUAAGUUGCUUAACUAAGAUGCACUAAUUUAGCUAUUCUAAAUUAUUAAUCGAACUAAACCUUGAAAAAUCAAUUAGACUGAUAAACAUCCAAGCCAAACACCAAUUAUUUAUUUAUCAAGUACCUACUUGUAUAUUCGAGCAGGAACAAGCACAAGCAAACCACAAACAUUAUUGAACAACAAAUCUUCAGGUACAUUAAGUAAAUAUCCGGUGCUGAAACAUAUUUAUCACAAAAACAUCUUUGGCCAAUAACAACGAAUUCAACCAGUUAACAAAAACUAUCCACCAUAAAAGAAACAAUUGGUCGUUCAUGUGAAUGCAAUCAUUAGUAAAAUGUAAUGUUUAAUAGUAGCAUCCCUAUAACCAUGAACAUUUCGCAUGCAAAAACUAAUCUUUAAGAUAUAGUGAGCAUUAAACACACAAGUCAAGCCUUCACUGGAAAGCUAAUGCACCAAACAUCCCAAAUACCUAAACUAAGCUGAAAAGGCAAUUACCCAUCCAAAAUAAAGUAAAGUGGAAUAAAAUAGCCCCAUAUACAUUGCAAACAAAAUUAAAUUGAACACAGUCCCUGGAUCUAAAAAUAACCAAUUUUUCAUUUUCAAUGAAAAAAUCACAAAAACAAAUUAUCAUUAAAAACUAAUAACAAUAAACCCAUCUGAAUUAAUUAGAUUCAUUACAUUAACUAUAUAUCCGAUACCCAUAAAAUAUAUUUACUUUAAAAAAAUAGAGAAAAUAAAAAUUACAACAAGAUAGCUAGAGUUUACCUUAAGAUACUUAAGCUUCAUGCUUCCAUAAACNNNNNNNNNNNNNNNNNNNNNNNNNNNNN